UACGUAGGUCCCAAGCGUUAUCCGGAAUUACUGGGCGUAAAGAGUUGCGUAGGUGGCAGAGUAAGUCUGUAGUGAAAGCGUGAGGCUCAACCUCAUAUCCAUUAUGGAAACUACUCAGCUAGAGAACGAGAGAGGUAAUUGGAAUUCCCAGUGUAGGAGUGAAAUCCGUAGAUAUUGGGAGGAACACCGAUGGCGUAGGCAGAUUACUGGCUCGUUUCUGACACUAAGGCACGAAAGCGUGGGUAGCAAACGGG
Molecule: ribosomal RNA, 254 nt
Filed under: uncultured bacterium
Lineage: Bacteria
Description: partial 16S ribosomal RNA
Rfam family: Bacterial small subunit ribosomal RNA
Source: RNAcentral